RNAcentral lists this ribosomal RNA (468 nucleotides) under uncultured bacterium. RNAcentral describes it as "partial 16S ribosomal RNA". It matches the Rfam family "Bacterial small subunit ribosomal RNA", at positions 28 to 507 of the family's 1533-position model. The record is from RNAcentral.
GAUGAACGCUGGCGGCGGGCUUAACACAUGCAAGUCGAAGGGAAAGGCCCGGCUAUUGUGGGGUGCUCGAGUGGCGAACGGGUGAGUGAGACGUGAGUAACCUGCCCCUGACUUUGGGAUAACGUCAGGAAACUGGGGCUAAUACCGGUUAGGAGUUCCUGCUGCUUGGUGGGGGUUGGAAAGUUUCGGCGGUUGGGGAUGGACUCGCGGGUGAUCAGCUGGUUGGUGGGGUAGUGGCUUAACAGGGCUUUGACGGGUAGCGGGCCUGAGAGGGUGACCGGCCACAGUGGCACAGAGAUACGGCCCGGAGUCGUGAGGGAGACAGCAGUGGGGAAGAUUGCCCGAUGGGGGGAAGCAGGGUGCAGGAACGCCGCGUUCGGGAUUACGGCCUUCUGUUAUGAGACGGUUUUCGCCUGGAAGGGUGCGUGAUUGACGGUACUGGAUAAAGAAGCACCGGCUAAUUACGUG